Molecule: long non-coding RNA, 474 nt
Filed under: Brassica napus (rape)
Lineage: Eukaryota; Viridiplantae; Streptophyta; Magnoliopsida; Brassicales; Brassicaceae
Description: long non-coding RNA (BNAP_LNC026260)
Source: RNAcentral
GUCUUCGGUCUCGGAUGCUGCAGCCCACAUGUAAAUUCCGCAGUGGCCAAAGCUCGAACUCAGGAGCGGGCACUCCAGCUGGAGCUCUUAUACCACUAGACCAAAGCAACUUGGUUAACAUGUUAAACUUAGACGUUUGAAUAGUGAAAAUUAAGAUUUACUAUUCUUAAGUUUCAAAUUUUCAGUCUUUUUAAUUAUAUAUCUUCUUACUAACUUCUUGUUUAUCAUUUUAAUCCUCACAGUAUUAUGCUUAUACAAGAAAUAUUAAUAAAAUUAAAAGAAAAUAUAAUACAAAACAACAUUAAACUGAAAAAACUUACUUUGAAAUCAACAAAUAAAAAGAAAAAGACUCAUUUAUCAUUAUUUUAACCCCAAACCUAUAUCCAAACUUGAUUUUAACCCCAAACCUAUAUCCAAACUUGAAUCAAAUGCAAAAGUAACCUAAAAGUCUAGUGAAAUUACAGCUCAGCCCCU